Molecule: ribosomal RNA, 1795 nt
Filed under: human gut metagenome
Description: bacterial LSU rRNA
Rfam family: Bacterial large subunit ribosomal RNA
Source: RNAcentral
UGCGUAACAGCUCACUGGUCGAGUGGACAUGCGCCGACAAUACACGGGGCUAAGCGUUGUACCGAAGCAGCGGACUGUUUUAUCAGUGGUAGGGGAGCUUUCCAUGCCGGGGCGAAGCCGACGGGCGACCGUCGGUGGACUGCAUGGAAGUGAGAAUGCUGGCAUGAGUAACGAGAGAGGGGCGAGAAACCCCUCCGCCGUAAGCCUAAGGGUUCCUGGGCAAGGCUAAUCCCCCCAGGGUCAGUCGGGAGCUAAGGCGAGGCCGACAGGCGUAGCCGAUGCACAACAGGCGGACAUUCCUGUACCACCGCGGAGCGUUACUACGACGGGGUGACGGAGAAGGGUAGCCGGGCGGGGUUCUGGACGUCCCCGUGAAAGCGCGUAGGCCGCAGGGCAGGCAAAUCCGCCCUGCAGCGAGGCCGAGACGUUAGACGAAGCUUCAUGUGAAGCCGGCGAGCCCAUGCUUCCGAGAAAAACCUCUAAGGAGCGAGGCGGUGCCCGUACCAAAACCGACACAGGUAGGCGGGUAGAGCAUACCAAGGCGAUCGGGAGAACCAUGGUUAAGGAACUCGGCAUACUGACUCCGUAACUUCGGGAGAAGGAGUGCCCCCGACGGUGAUUCCCCUCGCGGGAGGAGCUGUUGGGGGUCGCAGCGAAACGGCCCAAGCGACUGUUUACCAAAAACACAGGACUCUGCAAAGCCGCAAGGCGACGUAUAGGGUCUGACGCCUGCCCGGUGCUGGAAGGUUACGCGGAUGAGUUAGCGCAAGCGAAGCCCUGAAGCCAAGCCCCAGUAAACGGCGGCCGUAACUAUAACGGUCCUAAGGUAGCGAAAUUCCUUGUCGGGUAAGUUCCGACCUGCACGAAUGGCGUAACGAUCUCCACACUGUCUCGGCCAGAGACUCGGUGAAAUUGCAGUCGCGGUGAAAAUUCCGUGUACCCGCAGAAAGACGGAAAGACCCUGUGCACCUUUACUAUAGCUUGACAUUGGAUUUUGGGCCUGCAUGUGUAGGAUAGGUGGGAGGCUGUGAACCCUGUACGCCAGUAUGGGGGGAGCCAUCCUUGAAAUACCACCCUUGCAUGUUUAAGAUCCUAACUUCUUCCGGUUAUCCCGGAGAAAGACAGUGUCUGGCGGGUAGUUUGACUGGGGCGGUCGCCUCCUAAAGUGUAACGGAGGCAUGCAAAGGUUCCCUCAGCCUGAUCGGAAACCAGGCGCUGAGUGCAAACGCAUAAGGGAGCUUGACUGUAAGAGAGACAUCUCGAACAGGAACGAAAGUUGGCGUUAGUGAUCCGGUGGUCCCGAAUGGAAGGGCCAUCGCUCAUUGGAUAAAAGGUACGCCGGGGAUAACAGGCUGAUCGCAUCCAAGAGUUCACAUCGACGAUGCGGUUUGGCACCUCGAUGUCGGCUCAUCACAUCCUGGGGCUGAAGCAGGUCCCAAGGGUACGGCUGUUCGCCGUUUAAAGUGGUACGCGAGCUGGGUUUAAAACGUCGUGAGACAGUUUGGUCCCUAUCUUCUGUGGGCGAAGGAGAAUUGAGAGGGCCUGUCCCUAGUACGAGAGGACCGGGAUGGACGCACCCCUGGUGAUCCUGUUGUCGCGCCAGCGGCAUAGCAGGGUAGCUAUGUGCGGAAGGGAUAACCGCUGAAAGCAUCUAAGCGGGAAGCCUGCCUCAAGAUAAGUUCUCCCCUCGAAAGAGCUGAAGGGCCCGGGUAGACUACCCGGUCGAUAGGCUGGAGGUGUAAGCGCGGCGACGUGCUCAGCUGACCAGUACUAAUAGCCCGAGCGGCUUAUUUUU